Molecule: long non-coding RNA, 1148 nt
Organism: Anopheles merus
Lineage: Eukaryota; Metazoa; Arthropoda; Insecta; Diptera; Culicidae
Exons: 3
Source: RefSeq, a predicted model, not a curated record
AAAGGUCACGCAGUAGGCCAUUUCAUUGGUGUGAGUGUGUAUGUGCGUUUCGAUCAUUUAGUUGGCGCGAUGGGGCAAACCGUGUGAAGCGCUGUGGUGUGAUCUUGUACGGUUUAUUUAAGUGUGUGUGUGUGUGUGUCUGUAAGCUGCACAUAAAUUAUAAUUGUGAAUGCCGAGCGGUUAACAGAGCUAAACAUGAAAUAUAAGGUGACUGUAUGACGUUGUAUCAUAUCGAAGAUUAAAAUCUUUGAUGUAGCAUGAUGACCGGAACGUGUUGCCAGUUGGCCAGUUAGAUAAAUAAUCGGCGAACGAAAACAAGCCAAAAAUGCGCUGGAGCGGAUGUGUAGCGCGAAGACAGAAAUCAUCUUUAUCGGCCGUAUUAUGUGGGCAACGAACGAUCCACCGACCGUUGUUAAAUAUAUGAGCAGACGCGCCAUCUGUGUCCGGUGGCAACCUUGCGCGUGAACCGCGUCUACUAGACCAGUGUUCGCAUAGGCCACUGCAAUUCCAACAGAACAAGGCAAGGGAUUAUUUUGUGUGUUCUUCCGCUUUGGCUUGAUCUGGCCAGGACACGAUAAAAAAAGGUUGGACCUAUAUAAGGAUGAAUGAUUAGGAUGACUUUAGCUUCCCAAUAAAUUUUCUCAAUCAUAAAAGAGAAACACCUACCUGCCCGUGACGCUUACCCGAAGGGAUGCAAACAACUUGCACAAGUAAACACAGAAGAUCAAAUCAAACGAUCGGCGCUGAUCAUGUUUCUUUCUAGAAUAACACGGCGGCGCAUGUUUGCUUAAGCCGCUUGCAACUAGAGAAUGCUUAGCGGUUAGCGUUGCAGCAUUCGUACAUGAUUAGCCAAAACAUUAUAUUCUGUGCAGCUUCAUUGGGGCAGCGUUAGGGCAGCAACAUAAUGGCACACGCGUGGUUGAGCAGGGAGAGUUCGAAGUCAUUUAUGAAACAGAAAAGCGUUCGUGCAAAGGUGCGUGCGUUCGAGUGUGAACCAAUCAGCCAGUAAAGGAUGGUGAACUGUUGAUCGCCACUUCAUAAUGCGGGAUUGUGUGUGUGUAUGUGCGGGUGUGAGGGUGUAUCAGAUUCAUUUUUAACAUGAGAGAAACCAUUUAGAUGGAUUUAAGUUGAACUUUUCCGUUUGGUUG